This 618-nucleotide ribosomal RNA is filed under the name Drosophila multiciliata. RNAcentral describes it as "partial 16S ribosomal RNA". It matches the Rfam family "Bacterial large subunit ribosomal RNA", at positions 1845 to 2761 of the family's 2925-position model. Lineage: Eukaryota; Metazoa; Arthropoda; Insecta; Diptera; Drosophilidae. The record is from RNAcentral.
UUAAAGUCUAACCUGCCCACUGAAAAUUUAAAUGGCCGCAGUAUUCUAACUGUGCAAAGGUAGCAUAAUCAUUAGUCUUUUAAUUGAAGGCUGGAAUGAAUGGUUGGACGAAAUAUUAACUGUUUCAUUUAAAUUUUUUAUAGAAUUUUAUUUUUUAGUCAAAAAGCUAAAAUAAAUUUAAAAGACGAGAAGACCCUAUAAAUCUUUAUAUUUUGUUUAUUUUAAUUAUAAAGAUUAUUUUUAUUAUAAUAAACAAAAAUAUUUUAUUGGGGUGAUAUUAAAAUUUAAAAAACUUUUAAUUUUAAAAUCCAUUAAUUUAUGAAUAAUUGAUCCAUUAAUAAUGAUUAAAAAUUUAAGUUACUUUAGGGAUAACAGCGUAAUUUUUUUGGAGAGUUCAUAUCGAUAAAAAAGAUUGCGACCUCGAUGUUGGAUUAAGAUAUAAUUUUGGGUGUAGCCGUUCAAAUUUUAAGUCUGUUCGACUUUUAAAUUCUUACAUGAUCUGAGUUCAAACCGGCGUAAGCCAGGUUGGUUUCUAUCUUUAAAAAAUUGUAAUAUUUUAGUACGAAAGGACCAAAUAUUAAAAUAAUUAUAUUUUUAAUAAGAAUAUUAUUAAUACAG